UCUUACGACCACACCGGCCUGAGUACGCCUGAUCUCGUCUGAUCUCGGAAGCUAAGCAGGGUCGGGCCUGGUUAGUACUUGGAUGGGGAGACUGCCUGGGAAUACCAGGUGCUGUAAGCU
Molecule: ribosomal RNA, 120 nt
Filed under: Oncorhynchus kisutch (coho salmon)
Lineage: Eukaryota; Metazoa; Chordata; Actinopteri; Salmoniformes; Salmonidae
Source: RNAcentral